AUGGAGGAAGCCGGCGGGCAGCUGGAGGUGGUGAUGUUCCCGUGGCUGGCGUUCGGGCACAUGCUCCCAUUCCUCGACCUCUCCAGGCGCCUCGCCGCCCGCGGCCACACCGUCGCCUUCGUCUCCACGCCGCGGAACCUCGCCAGGCUCCCACCCGCGCCGCCGCACCUGUCAGGUCGCCUCCGCUUCGUGCAGCUGCCGCUGCCGCGCGUCGACGGGCUGCCGGAGGGCGCCGAGUCCACCGCCGACGUGCCGCCCGGGGAGGACGGGCUCCUUAAGAUGGCCAUGGACGGGCUCGCGGCCCCUCUCGCCGCGUUCCUCGCGGACGCCGUCGCCGCUGGCCGGAGGCGUUUGGCCGGACUCCUGGACUAUGAAGAUACAAGAUUGAACACUUCGUCCCGUGUACGGAAGGGACUUUCCUUGGUGUGGAAGGCAAGCUUGGCGAAAUGGAUAUGUAGAUCUCUUACCAUUGUAACCGACUCUGUGUAA
RNAcentral lists this ribosomal RNA (489 nucleotides) under Triticum aestivum (bread wheat). RNAcentral's name for it is "partial small subunit ribosomal RNA". Lineage: Eukaryota; Viridiplantae; Streptophyta; Magnoliopsida; Poales; Poaceae. The record is from RNAcentral.